GGAGCCGGUCCCAAGCCCGGAUAAAAGAGGAGGGACCACCAUGUCCAUUUAUAUUUUUGUAAUGUUCAUUGUGUGUUUUUGUUUUAAAAUGUAAAAGCAGGUAAUUAGGAAAAGAUAACCCCUUUAGGAAAUGCAAAACAUCUUCCCUUAUUAUAGUUGAAUUGUAUUGAUACUAACAACUGGUUCCCAACCCCUUCUGUGCUUUGUGAGCUACUCUCACACAUUUUUCUAUGUAUGGUUGACGAAUGAAAUGCUAGAGCUCCUACUUUCUGGAAUUAAAACUUUUGAAUUCAUAUGGUUGUAGCUUCAUCUCUUUCUCUCGCUCUACACUAGCAAUCGUUGAGAUAGAGCUAGUACUCUUCGCUGAUGCAUUGUGAUUUUUUCAUGCUUAUUUGGAGUAAUUUUGUCCCUGUUUUAUGUUCUGUUUUUUGAUUUUUUGUCAAUUCAAGAACCAUUACUAGCUUGAAUAUUAGCUAGCUCAUGAGAAACCAUUCUUUUUUUCCUUCUUGAAGGAGCUUAUGACACACUGCUAGGAAAAUUCUUUGUACCAUAUUUAGAGAUAAAUAAUGGACCAGUAUUUGUUCGUUGCCAUAUUGUACUAUACGAUGCAAUUAAAUUGUAUAGUGCUGCAUCUCCAACAGUAGCACCACCUAACAUCCACCCCUGACGCUCUGCCUUUUGGAGCAGAUGAAGGUUUCUCAUGGUCGGCUCAUCGCAGAGAAUACACGUGAACAUAUGGUUUGGUAGUUGGUACUUUAGAAGUUUAGGAGUCUAUAUAGUUUGGUAAUUGGUACUUCAGGAGUACUCGUUUUUCUCUGAUUGACAGAGUGGUUUGCUAGCAACUAAGAACUAACUGAACAAUCAACUGCAACUUUGUUUUUGAUAGAAAAACUGCUGCUUGGUCGUGUCAUAUUGCAUCAUGUGCCAAUUCUCUGACAUGUUUUGAAUCUAUGUCUAACUAAAUCCUUGUGUACAAGAUCUGCCCAGGAGACAAAAAGCUUGUUACUGGAGUUCUUGGGUAGCUAUCUUGCUGAGUCGAGUCUUCUGGAAUAGAGAUGUUUCUUGUUCUUGCCAUCAGUGGUUGCUGCUUCAUCAAUUUUUCUUUCUAGGCUGACCACUGGGCCAGACACUAAUCCUCGGAGCAAGGAAAUACAGAAACUGACAGGUUACAUGGCAGGAGAACUGAAGGAUUGCAUAUUUGCAUUAUAGCCAUACAUGAUUUGCAGCUCAAUAGAAAGGGUCCAUCUACACCAGCAAUUCACGACAAAAUUAUAAGCAACACAAGCUCCAAUGUUUAUCGACGAUGCUUCCUCCUGUAGAUGCUGGAACAGUUAUGGUGCUGGAAGCUGUUAAGAUGCUGGAGGUUUUAAAGCCUAAGCAGGAGCUUUCCAAAUUCGUUUAGGAGCUAGUCUAUCACAAGCAGGAGGCCAGGUAUACAAUCAUCUUUUGUAGAAUCAUACUUCUGUAUGAUAUCUCGGAACAUUGUGCCUUGAUCUGUUUGGCCACAUAUCUGUAGUGUUUAAUAUAUGUUGAUCCAUUGCCUUCA
Hordeum vulgare subsp. vulgare (domesticated barley) is the source of this 1546-nucleotide long non-coding RNA. RefSeq lists it as uncharacterized. The transcript is spliced from 4 exons. Lineage: Eukaryota; Viridiplantae; Streptophyta; Magnoliopsida; Poales; Poaceae. The record is from RefSeq and is a predicted model, not a curated record.